AAAAUGCGAUACUUGGUGUGAAUUGCAGAAUCCCGUGAACCAUCGAGUUUUUGAACGCAAGUUGCGCCCGAAGCCAUUCGGCCGAGGGCACGUCUGCCUGGGCGUCACGCAUCACCAUGCUCCCCUUGUUGGGACGUGUUUGGUCUGGGACGGAGACUGGUCUCCCGUGCCGAUGGCGCGGUUGGCCUAAAAAAGAGUCCCCUUGGCGGACGCACGGCUAGUGGUGGUUGUCAAGGCCUUCGUAUCGAGCCGUGUUGAUGCUAGGGAAUUGCUCUCUAAAAGACCCUAAUGUGUUGUCUUACGACGAUGCUUCGACCGCGACCCCAGGUCAGGCGGGACUACCCGCUGAGUUUAA
Molecule: unclassified non-coding RNA, 355 nt
Filed under: uncultured fungus
Lineage: Eukaryota; Fungi
Description: sequence contains ITS1
Rfam family: 5.8S ribosomal RNA (bases 1-107)
Source: RNAcentral